GACGAACGCUGGCGGCGUGCUUAAUACAUGCAAGUCGAACGGAAAGGCCCUGCUUUUGUGGGGUGCUCGAGUGGCGAACGGGUGAGUAACACGUGAGUAACCCGCCCUUGACUUUGGGAUAACUUCAGGAAACUGGGGCUAAUACCGGAUAGGAGCUCCUGCUGCAUGGUGGGGGUUGGAAAGUUUCGGCGGUUGGGGAUGGACUCGCGGCUUAUCAGCUUGUUGGUGGGGUAGUGGCUUACCAAGGCUUUGACGGGUAGCCGGCCUGAGAGGGUGACCGGCCACAUUGGGACUGAGAUACGGCCCAGACUCCUACGGGAGGCAGCAGUGGGGAAUAUUGCACAAUGGGCGGAAGCCUGAUGCAGCAACGCCGCGUGCGGGAUGACGGCCUUCGGGUUGUAAACCGCUUUCGCCUGUGACGAAGCGUGAGUGACGGUAAUGGGUAAAGAAGCGCCGGCUAACUACGUG
This 468-nucleotide ribosomal RNA is filed under the name uncultured bacterium. Its description in RNAcentral is "partial 16S ribosomal RNA". It matches the Rfam family "Bacterial small subunit ribosomal RNA", at positions 28 to 507 of the family's 1533-position model. The record is from RNAcentral.